AGCGAACGUUUGCGGCGGGCCUAACACAUGCAAGUCGAACGCACUAGCAAUAGUGAGUGGCGCACGGGUGCGUAACACGUGGGUAAUCAACCCUUCAGCCUGGGAUAACGACUCGAAAGGGUCGCUAAUACCGGAUACGGCGCGAGAGGCUUCGGCUUCUCACGAGAAAGCCACGCAAGGGGCACUGAAGGACGAGCCUGCGGCCCAUCAGCUAGUUGGUGAGGUAAGAGCUCACCAAGGCUAAGACGGGUAGCUGGUCUGAGAGGAUGAUCAGCCACACUGGAACUGAGACACGGUCCAGACUCCUACGGGAGGCAGCAGUGGGGAAUAUUGCGCAAAUGGGCGAAAGCCUGACGCAGCCACGCCGCGUGAGCGAUGAAGGCCUGGUCGUAAAGCUCUGUGGGAGAGACGAAGAAAGCCCGUGAAGAGCGGGCCGUUGACGGUAUCUCCUUAGC
RNAcentral lists this ribosomal RNA (455 nucleotides) under uncultured bacterium. Its description in RNAcentral is "bacterial SSU rRNA". It matches the Rfam family "Bacterial small subunit ribosomal RNA", at positions 29 to 487 of the family's 1533-position model. The record is from RNAcentral.